UGCAAGUCGACGGCAGCACAGAGGAGCUUGCUCCUUGGGUGGCGAGUGGCGGACGGGUGAGUAAUGCAUCGGGACCUACCCAGACGUGGGGGAUAACGUAGGGAAACUUACGCUAAUACCGCAUACGUCCUACGGGAGAAAGCGGGGGAUCUUCGGACCUCGCGCGGUUGGACGGACCGAUGUGCGAUUAGCUAGUUGGUAGGGUAAUGGCCUACCAAGGCGACGAUCGCUAGCUGGUCUGAGAGGAUGAUCAGCCACACUGGGACUGAGACACGGCCCAGACUCCUACGGGAGGCAGCAGUGGGGAAUAUUGGACAAUGGGCGCAAGCCUGAUCCAGCAAUGCCGCGUGUGUGAAGAAGGCCUUCGGGUUGUAAAGCACUUUUAUCAGGAGCGAAAUACCACGGGUUAAUACCCUAUGGGGCUGACGGUACCUGAGGAAUAAGCACCGGCUAACUUCGUGCCAGCAGCCGCGGUAAUACGAAGGGUGCAAGCGUUAAUCGGAAUUACUGGGCGUAAAGGGUGCGUANGCGGUUAUUUAAGUCUGCCGUGAAAUCCCCGGGCUCAACCUGGGAAUGGCGGUGGAUACUGGAUAGCUAGAGUGUGUCAGAGGAUGGUGGAAUUCCCGGUGUAGCGGUGAAAUGCGUAGAGAUCGGGAGGAACAUCAGUGGCGAANGCGGCCAUCUGGGACAACACUGACGCUGAAGCACGAAAGCGUGGGGAGCAAACAGGAUUAAAUACCCUGGUAGUCCACGCCCUAAACGAUGCGAACUGNAUGUUGGUCUCACUCGGAAAUCAGUGUC
Molecule: ribosomal RNA, 801 nt
Filed under: Rhodanobacter sp.
Lineage: Bacteria; Pseudomonadati; Pseudomonadota; Gammaproteobacteria; Lysobacterales; Rhodanobacteraceae
Description: bacterial SSU rRNA
Rfam family: Bacterial small subunit ribosomal RNA
Source: RNAcentral